RNAcentral lists this ribosomal RNA (443 nucleotides) under uncultured bacterium. RNAcentral describes it as "partial 16S ribosomal RNA". It matches the Rfam family "Bacterial small subunit ribosomal RNA", at positions 338 to 795 of the family's 1533-position model. The record is from RNAcentral.
CCUACGGGUGGCAGCAGUGGGGAAUAUUGGGCAAUGGGCGCAAGCCUGACCCAGCAACGCCGCGUGAAGGAAGAAGGCUUUCGGGUUGUAAACUUCUUUUCUCAGGGACGAAGCAAGUGACGGUACCUGAGGAAUAAGCCACGGCUAACUACGUGCCAGAAGCCGCGGUAAUACGUAGGUGGCAAGCGUUGUCCGGAUUUACUGGGUGUAAGGGGCGUGUAGCCGGGUUGACAAGUCAGAUGUGAAAUCCUGCGGCUUAACCGCAGAACUGCAUUUGAAACUGUUGAUCUUGAGUACUGGAGAGGCAGAUGGAAUGCCUAGUGUAGCGGUGAAAUGCGUAGAUAUUAGGAGGAACACCAGUGGCGAAGGCAGUCUGCUGGACAGCAACUGACGGUGAGGCGCGAAAGCGUGGGGAGCAAACAGGAUUAGAUACCCGAGUAGUC